GACAGAGGGUGCAAACGUUGUUCGGAAUUACUGGGCGUAAAGCGCGUGUAGGCGGCCCUGCAAGUCGGGUGUGAAAUCCCACGGCUCAACCGUGGAAGUGCGCUCGAAACUGCAGGGCUAGAGUCCUGGAGAGGAAGGUGGAAUGCUUGGUGUAGAGGUGAAAUUCGUAGAUAUCAAGCGGAACACCGGUGGCGAAGGCGGCCUUCUGGACAGUGACUGACGCUGAGACGCGAAAGCGUGGGGAGCAAACAGG
This 253-nucleotide ribosomal RNA is filed under the name uncultured bacterium. Its description in RNAcentral is "partial 16S ribosomal RNA". It matches the Rfam family "Bacterial small subunit ribosomal RNA", at positions 524 to 776 of the family's 1533-position model. The record is from RNAcentral.